This 73-nucleotide transfer RNA is filed under the name Klebsiella pneumoniae. RNAcentral describes it as "tRNA-Ala". It matches the Rfam family "tRNA". Rfam says of the family: Transfer RNA (tRNA) molecules are approximately 80 nucleotides in length. Lineage: Bacteria; Pseudomonadati; Pseudomonadota; Gammaproteobacteria; Enterobacterales; Enterobacteriaceae. The record is from RNAcentral.
GGGGCUAUAGCUCAGCUGGGAGAGCGCUUGCAUGGCAUGCAAGAGGUCAGCGGUUCGAUCCCGCUUAGCCUGU